RNAcentral lists this long non-coding RNA (730 nucleotides) under Rattus norvegicus (Norway rat). Its description in RNAcentral is "long non-coding RNA NONRATT002844". The record is from RNAcentral. Lineage: Eukaryota; Metazoa; Chordata; Mammalia; Rodentia; Muridae.
UUUCCAUGAAAGAUUGUCUAGAUAUUUUGCCUGUAAGCUUGUUUGGGGUUGCUAAUUGAAUUGAAAAGACUUGCCCACCGUGGGUGUCAUCAUCCCCUAGGCUGUGGAUUCUCACCUGUGGAAAAGUGGAAAAAGCAGCUGAGUACAUAAAACCUGGAGGGGAAUACAAAUUUCUUCCUGGAAAACACAUUUCCCUUCCUGCCCUCCCUGCACCCUCGGAUAAAUACAUGAGCACGCAGCGAUUUGCCAACAGCAGCUCCAGGCAUGAAGCACAACAUCUGUUAGCGAGACGCUGGAGAGACAGUGGAAGGCAUGCUGGCUGCCUGCCCACCUUCAGACUCCAGAUUUUUGCUGACAAGGCUGUCAAUAAAUGGGCAGAUGGCAUGGGCUCUGCUGGCGGGAGAGUUCAGUUAACCCGACACCAGACAUUAUCUCCAGUUCAUGGUGCACUGGGCUGAGCCCUUCGCUGGACCAUUAAAGCCGUUCCUUGAUGAAGCACAGAGAGCAAGACGCCAGACUAGGAAGUAGGAGGCAGGCGCUCGCUUCCUUUAAUUACAUGAACUGAGUGUAUCCUGCAGUUGGCAGGCAGAGCGAGUGAGAUUUGUUAGUCCUGUGACCACAGAAGUGGGGUGGGAGCAUCCACACUGCAUUUCAUGCUGGUUAAACAUGGGUAUCUCAUCCUCAGGAGCCAUGUACCUCCCUGAGGAUAGAGUUUAGUAUAAAAUAAACA